ACUACGGGAGGCUGCAGUGGGGAAUAUUGCACAAUGGGGGAAACCCUGAUGCAGCGACGCCGCGUGAGUGAAGAAGUAUUUCGGUAUGUAAAGCUCUAUCAGCAGGGAAGAAAAUGACGGUACCUGAUUAAGCAGCCCCGGCUAACUACGUGCCAGCAGCCGCGGUAAGACGUAGGGGGCAAGCGUUAUCCGGAUUUACGGGGUGUAAAGGGAGCGUAGACGGCAGCACAAGUCUGGCGUGAAAUGCCGGGGCUUAACCCCGGAACUGCUUUGGAAACUGUGCAGCUAGAGUGCAGGAGAGGUAAGUGGAAUUCCUAGUGUAGCGGUGAAAUGCGUAGAUAUUAGGAGGAACACCAGUGGCGAAGGCGGCUUACUGGACUGUAACUGACGUUGAGGCUCGAAAGCGUGGGGAGCAAACAGGAUUAGAUACCCGGGUAGUC
This 440-nucleotide ribosomal RNA is filed under the name uncultured bacterium. RNAcentral's name for it is "partial 16S ribosomal RNA". It matches the Rfam family "Bacterial small subunit ribosomal RNA", at positions 338 to 795 of the family's 1533-position model. The record is from RNAcentral.